GACACGGUGUCCGAGUGGUUAAGGAGUCAGACUUGAACCAAAAUUUGUUUGAGCUAUCUGAUACGUUCGCGUGCGCAGGUUCAAAUCCUGUCCGUGUCG
This is a non-coding RNA of Eremomyces bilateralis CBS 781.70, 99 nucleotides long. The record is from the annotation of a RefSeq genome assembly. Lineage: Eukaryota; Fungi; Ascomycota; Dothideomycetes; Eremomycetales; Eremomycetaceae.